Molecule: long non-coding RNA, 413 nt
Organism: Asparagus officinalis (garden asparagus)
Lineage: Eukaryota; Viridiplantae; Streptophyta; Magnoliopsida; Asparagales; Asparagaceae
Exons: 2
Source: RefSeq, a predicted model, not a curated record
CGUCACUGACACACUGUUGAUUCACUGAUACACUGCCAAUUGUUGUAUGAUGCAUUCGACUUGGUAGCAGUCAAGUCACAUUUGGGAAAUUAUCCUUGUUACUUGCUGUGUUGCCAGGUUUGCUGAAGCUUUAAGGUAAUGAAUCCGAUAUCAGGUGAACCGGGAUGUCAGUUUGGGGAAUGAAACAGAAUUGGUAUCAGAACGCUAUGUGUAAUAAUUAAGAUCUUAUUUUUGCUAGCUAGCCUUCAUUCUGUUUUGUUGAUACUCUGAAGUCUGUUAUUGCCAUUAUUCUGUUUUGUCUGAUUCUGUUUGCUGGGUUGUACUGUGCUUGCCCUUUAAUAUUCACGAUGUAAUUAAUAUAUGUAUUUUUGCCAGCUAGCCUUUCAUUGCGGUGUCUGAUUCUGUUUUGUUGA